AUCUCAAAAUUUGUUAGGCGCCA
This 23-nucleotide non-coding RNA is filed under the name Arabidopsis thaliana (thale cress). The record is from RNAcentral. Lineage: Eukaryota; Viridiplantae; Streptophyta; Magnoliopsida; Brassicales; Brassicaceae.